This 87-nucleotide transfer RNA is filed under the name Steroidobacteraceae bacterium. Its description in RNAcentral is "tRNA-Leu". It matches the Rfam family "tRNA". Rfam says of the family: Transfer RNA (tRNA) molecules are approximately 80 nucleotides in length. Their secondary structure includes four short double-helical elements and three loops (D, anti-codon, and T loops). Further hydrogen bonds mediate the characteristic L-shaped molecular structure. tRNAs have two regions of fundamental functional importance: the anti-codon, which is responsible for specific mRNA codon recognition, and the 3' end, to which the tRNAs corresponding amino acid is attached (by aminoacyl-tRNA synthetases). tRNAs cope with the degeneracy of the genetic code in two manners: having more than one tRNA (with a specific anti-codon) for a particular amino acid; and 'wobble' base-pairing, i.e. permitting non-standard base-pairing at the 3rd anti-codon position. Lineage: Bacteria; Pseudomonadati; Pseudomonadota; Gammaproteobacteria; Steroidobacterales; Steroidobacteraceae. The record is from RNAcentral.
GCCCCGGUGGCGGAACUGGUAGACGCAACGGACUUAAAAUCCGUCACCCGCGAGGGUGUACAGGUUCGAUUCCUGUCCGGGGCACCA